AUAUUCAGGAAAACAUCAAUUCACUAAAGUAUCAAAAUGCACUUUUUAUUUUUCAGCUUGGUGUGUAGUAGGAGAAAACAUUGCACUUUGAGAAAGAAACCCUGGAAUCAAGUCCUGGUCCUGCCACAUAUCAGCUGUGCAUCCUGCAGCAAGUCUCUUCCUCUCUUCAGCUGAUUGAAGAGGACAGAGUGACUACCAUCUGAAGCCCUACCCAGGGCAAGGCCAGAUCUCUACCCUGUUCUGAGGUUUUCACAUCUUUCCCAGGAAGGUCUGAGGACUGCCAGGCAGCCAGGUUCCAGGUUUCUCAGCCAAAUAAUGCCAUGGAGUGGUCGCAUCUGUCUCUGUCCAAUUGGACAGUGUGAUAGAGGUGGGUGACUCUACAGGGGCUCAUGAGACACACCUGGAGUAGCCCCUUCACACUCUCACUUCAGACAGUGGCCAGGCUCCCCAGACCCAUAGAGAAAGGAAGUCCUGACUUUACAGACAUCUCAACCCUGACCCAGAAGAUUAGAUGUGUGUGACCAUUUCCCAGCCUGACAUUCAAGAUAUAGUGUUACCUCUGAAGAUGAACAGUGCUUCUGUUUCCCAGCAGAUGUUACUGGAAAGAGAGAAAUGGCCUUCUGAUGGUCCUGUGUCACCUGAAAUGUCAGGUUUCCUACACAAAGAAAGUUCCAAUUCAACAUGCUUGAUACCAAGAGGGAAAGGAGAGAAAUACCACGUAGUCAAGGAUUUCAACAUCUGAUUGGUCACCCUAAAGAGCAUGUCCACCAAUCUGUACAGAUGGGCAAUGAGCUGGAUGCAGAGUUCAAAAGAAGAGUGAACCAUGUUGUUUUCAGGAAAUUGCAAAGCUCUUUUACUGACUCCAAGCUUUCUGUGAAAACAAGAUCCCACCGGAAGAUUCUCACACUGACUGAUGUGAGAUGCUGAACACCACUAUCUCUGAAGAGCAUCACAUCCAUCACAGAGAGAUCAUGGUCGCAACUGAAGCAACUGAAGCAGCAGAAAAACAAAGUGGGCUGAGGCAACAUUCCAUUCACAUAGUUCUGGACCCUUACAAAGAAGUAUAUGAGGUGCCUUCUUAUGUUCUCUCUUUGGGGUCGUGCCUGGUCAUUAUAGUCCCAUAGCAUUUAGUUUCAUCCUUGUUCUUUUCAUUGACAGUGCCAUAGUCACAUUUAUUGUUCUUAUUUCUGCUUACUUCCCUUUCCUUUAGUUUAUAUAUGUAUUCUAAUGCUUCUGUUAUAAACAUAUUCAUUGCUUCUUAGAGUCAAUCAAUAUUUUAUUACAUUCUUAUGCCACAGUUUAUUUGAUUAUUCCCUCAUUGACUGUUUCUAGAAUUGGAAAAUCUUUAGAACCAAAAGGAGAGAUUGUCCACUUCACCUCCUAUAUUUAAGAAAUAAUACAAAUACUUCCUGGCUCUAUAACCUUGGGCAAAUCACUUGAACCCCACUGUGGAGCCCUUAGAGCUCUUCUGCUUUGGAACCAAUACAUAAUAUCGAUUCUAAGAGACAAAAGUUAAGAGUUUUUUAAGAAAGAAAUAAGAAUAAGGGAGGGGUGGGGCAGCUGAAUGGCUCAAUGGGUUUAGAGCCAGGUCUAGAGAUGGGAGGUCCUGGGUUCAAAUCUAGUUUCAGAUACUUCCUGGCUGUGUGACCCUGGGCAAGUCACUUGACCAGAUUUGAACUAAGAAGAUAAGCCUUCCUGACUCCAGACUUGGUGUUCUAUCCACUGUUCCACCUGGCUGCUGUGAAAGGGAAUUCUUUAUUCUCUUCCUCUAUUUUAAGUUAACACUUACUUAACCCCUACUUUUGAUAACAUUUUGUUAUCAAGUAAGAGAAUUCACAAGUCAUUUACUUGGAGAGUUCCACCCUUUUAAU
This 1871-nucleotide long non-coding RNA is filed under the name Monodelphis domestica (gray short-tailed opossum). Its description in RNAcentral is "lncRNA (ENSMODG00000036184.2)". Lineage: Eukaryota; Metazoa; Chordata; Mammalia; Didelphimorphia; Didelphidae. The record is from RNAcentral.